This 497-nucleotide ribosomal RNA is filed under the name uncultured bacterium. Its description in RNAcentral is "partial 16S ribosomal RNA". It matches the Rfam family "Bacterial small subunit ribosomal RNA", at positions 28 to 507 of the family's 1533-position model. The record is from RNAcentral.
GAUGAACGCUGGCGGCGUGCCUAAUACAUGCAAGUCGAGCGAACAGAUGAUGAGCUUGCUCCUCUGACGUUAGCGGCGGACGGGUGAGUAACACGUGGAUAACCUACCUAUAAGACUGGGAUAACUUCGGGAAACCGGAGCUAAUACCGGAUAAUAUAUUGAACGGCAUGGUUCAAUAGUGAAAGACGGUUUUGCUGUCACUUAUAGAUGGAUCCGCGCCGCAUUAGCUAGUUGGUAAGGUAACGGCUUACCAAGGCAACGAUGCGUAGCCGACCUGAGAGGGUGAUCGGCCACACUGGAACUGAGACACGGUCCAGACUCCUACGGGAGGCAGCAGUAGGGAAUCUUCCGCAAUGGGCGAAAGCCUGACGGAGCAACGCCGCGUGAGUGAUGAAGGUCUUCGGAUCGUAAAGCUCUGUUAUUAGGGAAGAACAAAUGUGUAAGUAACUAUGCACGUCUUGACGGUACCUAAACAGAAAGCCACGGCUAACUACGUG